Molecule: ribosomal RNA, 429 nt
Filed under: Verrucomicrobiota bacterium
Lineage: Bacteria; Pseudomonadati; Verrucomicrobiota
Description: Verrucomicrobia bacterium partial 16S ribosomal RNA
Rfam family: Bacterial small subunit ribosomal RNA
Source: RNAcentral
UAGGGAAUCUUCCGCAAUGGACGAAAGUCUGACGGAGCAACGCCGCGUGAGUGAAGAAGGAUUUCGGUUCGUAAAACUCUGUUGUUAGGGAAGAAAAAAUGUAUAGUAACUAUAUACAAAAGAGACGGUACCUAACCAGAAAGCCACGGCUAACUACGUGCCAGCAGCCGCGGUAAUACGUAGGUGGCAAGCGUUGUCCGGAAUUAUUGGGCGUAAAGCGCGCGCAGGUGGUUUAGAAAGUCUGAUGUGAAAGCCCACGGCUCAACCGUGGAGGGUCAUUGGAAACUGUUUAACUUGAGUGCAGAAGGGGAGAGUGGAAUUCCAUGUGUAGCGGUGAAAUGCGUAGAUAUAUGGAGGAACACCGGUGGCGAAAGCGGCUCUCUGGUCUGUAACUGACGCUGAGGCUCGAAAGCGUGGGGAGCGAACAGG